GGCGGCAGGCUUAACACAUGCAAGUCGAGCGGUAGCAGAUCUAGCUUGCUAGAUGCAGACGAGCGGCGGACGGGUGAGUAACGCGUAGGAACCUGCCCAGUAGUGGGGGAUAGCCCGGGGAAACUCGGAUUAAUACCGCAUACGCUCUACGGAGGAAAAGAGGGGCCUCGGGCUCUCGCUAUUGGAUGGGCCUGCGUGAGAUUAGCUAGUUGAUGAGGUAAUGGCUCACCAAGGCGACGAUCUCUAGCUGGUCUGAGAGGAUGAUCAGCCACACUGGGACUGAGACACGGCCCAGACUCCUACGGGAGGCAGCAGUGGGGAAUAUUGCACAAUGGGCGCAAGCCUGAUGCAGCCAUGCCGCGUGUGUGAAGAAGGCUUUCGGGUUGUAAAGCACUUUCAGUGGGGAGGAAGGCCUCGUAGUUAAUAGCUGCGAGGAUUGACGUUACCCACAGAAGAAGCACCGGCUAACUCCGUG
RNAcentral lists this ribosomal RNA (475 nucleotides) under uncultured bacterium. RNAcentral describes it as "bacterial SSU rRNA". It matches the Rfam family "Bacterial small subunit ribosomal RNA", at positions 38 to 507 of the family's 1533-position model. The record is from RNAcentral.